UGGGGAAUAUUGGACAAUGGGGGCAACCCUGAUCCAGCCAUGCCGCGUGUGUGAAGAAGGCCUUAGGGUUGUAAAGCACUUUCAGUAGGGAGGAAAAGUUAAUGGCGAAUACCCAUUAACCCUGACGUUACCUACAGAAGAAGCACCGGCAAACUCCGUGCCAGCAGCCGCGGUAAUACGGAGGGUGCGAGCGUUAAUCGGAAUUACUGGGCGUAAAGCGCGCGUAGGCGGCCUGAUAAGUUGGAUGUGAAAGCCCCGGGCUUAACCUGGGAACUGCAUUCAAAACUGUCAGGCUAGAGUAUGGUAGAGGAUAGUGGAAUUUCAGGUGUAGCGGUGAAAUGCGUAGAGAUCUGAAGGAACAUCAGUGGCGAAGGCGGCUAUCUGGACCAAUACUGACGCUGAGGUGCGAAAGCGUGGGGAUCAAACAGGAUUAGAUACCCUGGUAGUCCACGCCGUAAACGAUGGGCACUAGGCGUCGGGGGGAGCGACCCUCUCGGUGCCGUCGCUAACGCAAUAAGUGCCCCGCCUGGGGAGUACGGCCGCAAGGCUG
Molecule: ribosomal RNA, 550 nt
Filed under: uncultured bacterium
Lineage: Bacteria
Description: bacterial SSU rRNA
Rfam family: Bacterial small subunit ribosomal RNA
Source: RNAcentral